RNAcentral lists this ribosomal RNA (490 nucleotides) under uncultured bacterium. RNAcentral describes it as "bacterial SSU rRNA". It matches the Rfam family "Bacterial small subunit ribosomal RNA", at positions 28 to 526 of the family's 1533-position model. The record is from RNAcentral.
GACGAACGCUGGCGGCGUGCUUAACACAUGCAAGUCGAACGAUGAAGGAGAGAGCUUGCUCUUUUUGGAUUAGUGGCGAACGGGUGAGUAACACGUGAGCAAUCUGCCCUUCACACUGGGAUAACCCUCGGAAACGAGAGCUAAUACCAGAUAUGACCACUUCGGGCAUCCGAUGGUGGUGGAAAGUUCCGGCGGUGAAGGAUGAGCUCGCGGCCUAUCAGCUUGUUGGUGAGGUAAUGGCUCACCAAGGCUUCGACGGGUAGCCGGCCUGAGAGGGUGACCGGCCACACUGGGACUGAGACACGGCCCAGACUCCUACGGGAGGCAGCAGUGGGGAAUAUUGCACAAUGGGCGCAAGCCUGAUGCAGCAACGCCGCGUGAGGGAUGACGGCCUUCGGGUUGUAAACCUCUUUUAGUAGGGAAGAAGCGUAAGUGACGGUACCUGCAGAAAAAGCACCGGCUAACUACGUGCCAGCCGCCGCAGUAACAC